Molecule: transfer RNA, 83 nt
Organism: Oryctolagus cuniculus (rabbit)
Lineage: Eukaryota; Metazoa; Chordata; Mammalia; Lagomorpha; Leporidae
Rfam family: tRNA
About the family: Transfer RNA (tRNA) molecules are approximately 80 nucleotides in length. Their secondary structure includes four short double-helical elements and three loops (D, anti-codon, and T loops).
Source: Rfam
GGCGCUGUGGCGCAGCGGGAUAACGCCCUGGCCUGUAGUGCCAGCAUCCCAUAUGAGUGCGGGUUCUAGUCCCGGCUGCUCCU